Molecule: small RNA, 132 nt
Filed under: Klebsiella quasipneumoniae subsp. similipneumoniae
Lineage: Bacteria; Pseudomonadati; Pseudomonadota; Gammaproteobacteria; Enterobacterales; Enterobacteriaceae
Also listed under: 1 other name
Description: RtT sRNA
Rfam family: RtT RNA
About the family: This family represents a bacterial cis-regulatory element known as RtT RNA. The exact function of RtT is unknown although it is thought that it may be involved in changing the cellular response in relation to amino acid starvation.
Source: RNAcentral
UAUUCUGCCCUACGGGGAAGGAUGAGAAGCUUCGACUAAGGUUCGACUCGAGCGUAGCGAGAGAACGUUGCCGAAGGCAACGGCCCGAAGGGCGAGGCGCUUUAGCGCCGAGUAAUCCUUCCCCCACCACCA